This 444-nucleotide ribosomal RNA is filed under the name Triticum aestivum (bread wheat). Its description in RNAcentral is "partial small subunit ribosomal RNA". Lineage: Eukaryota; Viridiplantae; Streptophyta; Magnoliopsida; Poales; Poaceae. The record is from RNAcentral.
AUGGGACGCAUACGCCAUAGAGUCGUCCCCCCCUGCCAAUUUUUUUGCCAUAUCCGUCCCGAUGGUUCGGUGGCUCUGAUCAUUGAUCCAAUUAUCGAUGGGUUCCAUCUCACAAAAGUCCUUACGGAUGGCGGCAGUAGCCUUAAUCCACUCUACCAAGACACUAUCCGCAAAAUGGGCAUCGAUCCUUCAAGAAUCAAGCCCACCACAACCACCCCCAAGGGAGCAGUACUCGGCGUAGAAGCUCACUGUAGGGGCUCCGUCACAUUGGAAGUCAUUUUAGGUUCGCCGAACAACUUCCGAAGUGAAGGCUUGACCUUUGAUAUUGUCCCGUUCCGCAGUAGCUACCAUGCACUUCUGGGGCGUACCGCUUUUGCUCAUUUUAAUGUGGUCCCACUCUACGCCCGUGCAAAACUUAAGAUGCCCGGUCACGGGGCGUCAUAA